Small nucleolar RNA from Hyla sarda, 66 nucleotides. RefSeq annotates it as small nucleolar RNA SNORD73. NCBI's taxonomy places the organism in Eukaryota, Metazoa, Chordata, Amphibia, Anura, Hylidae. The transcript has a single exon. The record is from RefSeq and is a predicted model, not a curated record.
AAUGAAUGAUGACAAUGUUUCAGUCCCAAAUGAUGUCUGUGAUUACUCUGAGAUCGUUCUGAAGUU